RNAcentral lists this ribosomal RNA (253 nucleotides) under uncultured bacterium. RNAcentral's name for it is "partial 16S ribosomal RNA". It matches the Rfam family "Bacterial small subunit ribosomal RNA", at positions 524 to 776 of the family's 1533-position model. The record is from RNAcentral.
UACGAAGGGGGCUAGCGUUGUUCGGAAUCACUGGGCGUAAAGCGCACGUAGGCGGCUUGUUAAGUCAGAGGUGAAAGCCUGGAGCUCAACUCCAGAACUGCCUUUGAUACUGGCAAGCUCGAGUGUGGAAGAGGUUGGUGGAACUCCGAGUGUAGAGGUGAAAUUCGUAGAUAUUCGGAAGAACACCAGUGGCGAAGGCGGCCAACUGGUCCAUUACUGACGCUGAGGUGCGAAAGCGUGGGGAGCAAACAGG